RNAcentral lists this ribosomal RNA (821 nucleotides) under Scedosporium apiospermum. RNAcentral's name for it is "eukaryotic LSU rRNA". It matches the Rfam family "Eukaryotic large subunit ribosomal RNA", at positions 86 to 932 of the family's 3401-position model. Lineage: Eukaryota; Fungi; Ascomycota; Sordariomycetes; Microascales; Microascaceae. The record is from RNAcentral.
ACGGCGAGUGAAGCGGCAACAGCUCAAAUUUGAAAUCUGGCGGCCUCUGGGCCGUCCGAGUUGUAAUUUGAAGAGGAUGCUUUUGGCGAGGCGCCUUCCGAGUGCCCUGGAACGGGACGCCACAGAGGGUGAGAGCCCCGUAUGGUUGGACGCCGAGCCUCUGUAAAGCUCCUUCGACGAGUCGAGUAGUUUGGGAAUGCUGCUCAAAAUGGGAGGUAAACCCCUUCUAAAGCUAAAUACUGGCCAGAGACCGAUAGCGCACAAGUAGAGUGAUCGAAAGAUGAAAAGCACUUUGAAAAGAGAGUUAAAUAGCACGUGAAAUUGUUGAAAGGGAAGCGCUUGCGACCAGACUUGUGCCCGUCGAAUCAGCCGCCGCUCGCCGGCGGCGCACUUCGGCGGGCUCAGGCCAGCAUCAGUUCGCUGCAGGGGGAGAAAGGCGGCGGGAAUGUGGCUCUUCGGAGUGUUAUAGCCCGCCGCGCAAUACCCCUCGGCGGACUGAGGACCGCGCAUCUGCAAGGAUGCUGGCGUAAUGGUCGUCAGCGACCCGUCUUGAAACACGGACCAAGGAGUCGUCCUAAUAUGCGAGUGUUCGGGUGUAAAACCCCUGCGCGUAAUGAAAGUGAACGGAGGUGAGAGCUUCGGCGCAUCAUCGACCGAUCCUGAUGUUCUCGGAUGGAUUUGAGUAAGAGCAUAUUGGGCCGGACCCGAAAGAAGGUGAACUAUGCCUGUAUAGGGUAAAGCCAGAGGAAACUCUGGUGGAGGCUCGCAGCGGUUCUGACGUGCAAAUCGAUCGUCAAAUAUGGGCAUGGGGGCGAAAGACU